CGCUCAUUUCCUCGUCAGCCGCGCUCCGAGGAGGUGCCCGGUUUUGCUCCCCCCUCCUAUGACCGGUCGCUUUCCGCCUCCUCGGCCUGAUCCGCUCGCCUGAGCCCUUCCUCGAGUCAAGCCGAGCCCCGCGGGGGCCCCUGCCCGCCAUGAGCUACGGGCGGCCGCCGCCCGACGUGGAGGGCAUGACGUCCCUGAAGGUGGACAACCUGACCUACCGCACGUCCCCGGACACGCUGCGCCGCGUCUUCGAGAAGUACGGCCGCGUGGGCGACGUCUACAUCCCCCGCGACCGCUACACCAAGGAGAGCCGCGGCUUCGCCUUCGUGCGCUUCCACGACAAGCGCGACGCCGAGGACGCCAUGGACGCCAUGGAUGGCGCCGUGCUGGACGGCCGCGAGCUGCGCGUGCAGAUGGCCCGCUACGGCCGCCCGCCCGACUCGCACCACAGCCGCCGCGGGCCGCCGCCGCGCCGCUACAGCAGCGGAUACGGGCGCCGCAGCCGCAGCCCCCGAAGACGCCGCCGCAGCCGGUCCAGGAGCAGGAGCCGCUCGAGGUCCCGCAGCCGGUCCCGCUACAGCAGAUCCAAGUCGAGGUCCCGCACGCGCUCCAGGUCGCGCUCCACCUCCAAGUCCAGGUCUGCCCGGAGAUCCAAAUCGAAGUCAUCCUCCGUCUCCAGAUCCCGGUCAAGGUCGCGAUCCCGGUCGAGGUCUAGGAGCCCUCCGCCUGUCUCCAAGAGAGAAUCUAACUCCAGAUCGAGGUCUAAGAGUCCCCCUAAGUCUCCUGAAGAGGAAGGAGCUGUAUCGUCUUAGAAAAAUGGUAAGGUAGCUAGGGAACAGCGCUGUCCGCAUGUUAAAUUCGUUUUAGCAUUUAAGUGGGUUGUUGGGUAGUUAAGUGUAUUAACAGACUGAACCAAAUGAAUCCUAAUGGGGAACCGUGCUUUCCAUUUAUUUGGUUAGGGAUAUAAGUACUAAAGGACUUCCUUCAAAAGACACAUUUUUGUGGGUGUUUUAGAUUAAUGGCUUGCUUUUAAUAAAAUACUGUAUGAGACCUAUAAAUGAAAAUGACUAUUUCUUACUGUAUUUAUCCAACAUCUGCAUUUUCCCCUUUAAAGCUGCGGUCUCCUGUUUGCUAAAAGAAUAUUGACCAGUAUUGCAGAUUUUAACUGAUUUGGCUGAUCCUCCAGGGACCAGUUUCUGUGGGCGUGUAUUGGAGCAGGUUUGUCUUUAAAAUGUUAAAGAUGCACUAUCCUUUGGUACCGGAAAAGUGGCACAGGGAUGGAUGUUCUGACUGGAGGUAACCAUCUUUCUAGAAGCAGCAAAUGCACGAAGAUUGAUGAAAACCAGGUUUUCCUCCAUUCCACAAAGCUUUUGAGGAUGCACUGGGUGGGGAAAGGAUAGUGUGUCUUUAACCCCUCAAACUGUUUGGUCCUGUUUUUUAUUAAAAAGGAAAGGGCCUUUAGCUCUAACAUUAAGUUGCUGUAUUGGCUCUAGUGAUGUUUUCCCACAUUGUCUUGAAUGUCAAUUGCAGGCUAAAUAGUUAAGUUUAUAUAAAGUAUUAGUUUUCUGUAACAUUAUGUUAACUUAUUCUUACUCAGGCUGAAUUCAAGUUAAGUGCUUUGACUAACAGCCUGAUCUCCACAACAACUCUAAUAUAUUAAAGUGAUAAAUAAAUAGAACUGUAAUAUCUAACCAUUCAGUUUAAUUUGGUCUUUGAAUUGGACCAUGGGGGGGAGGUGGAACACCACGGUCGUGCUUAAAACUUAAUGAAACUAGACCAGGGCAUCUGAAACUACUAGAAGUAUGUCCGAAGUCAUCCACAUGAGGUAUGUCAUGAAAACUUUGACUGAACUUUUCUCUCUUCAAACCUAGAUGCAUCAGACAAAUGAGAGAGCUACGUAAAGGACGCCUCUGGGAGAAGAUAACUUGAGUCUUCAGUCCGUUGGAGAGACCCCUGGUACAAGCAACCAGCUGUUGAAAAGGCGCAGUUGUGUAGCAGUUGAGUAAUGCUGGUUAGCUGUUAAGGUGGCGUGUUGCAGUGCAGAGUGCUUGGCUGUUUCCUGUUUUCUCCUGAUUGCUCCAGUGUAACGAUGCCUUGUCGUGCAGAAACAAAUGGCUGUCCAGUUAAUUAAAAUGCCUGACAACUGCACUUCCAGUCACCCGGGCCUUGCAUAAAAAUAAUGGAGCAUACAGUGAGCACAUCUAGCAGAUGAUAUACACACCUUAUUUUUUCCAGAAUGGUAAAUCUUACCAUCUUCAUGUAUGAACUUGCAUAUGAGAAUUAUAAUGUUAAGAAAGCAGAUGGUUCAUUCCUUUGUAAGUAACUGAUUGGUGUAUCUUUUGCUUAAGACAUUCUGUACUAUAACCACUGUCUCUGUAGUUUAAUAUUAAACUUUUUUUUUGUGUUAAUUUUUCUCA
Molecule: RNA transcript, 2417 nt
Organism: Alligator mississippiensis (American alligator)
Lineage: Eukaryota; Metazoa; Chordata; Crocodylia; Alligatoridae
Gene: SRSF2
Gene name: serine and arginine rich splicing factor 2
Exons: 3
Source: RefSeq, a predicted model, not a curated record